RNAcentral lists this ribosomal RNA (119 nucleotides) under Pteropus alecto (black flying fox). Lineage: Eukaryota; Metazoa; Chordata; Mammalia; Chiroptera; Pteropodidae. The record is from RNAcentral.
GUCUACGGCCAUGCCACCCUGAACGUGCCUGAUCCCGGCUGAUCUCAGAAGCUAAGCAGAGUUGGGCCUGGUUAGUAGUUGGAUGGGAGACCACCUAGGAAGACCAGGUACUGUAGGUG